GACGACCGCUGGCGGCGCGCCUAACACAUGCAAGUCGAACGGAGUUUACAGACGGAAGUUUUCGGAUGGAAGGCUGUAAGCUCAGAGGCGGACGGGUGAGUAACACGUGAGCAAGCUGCCUAUCAGAGGGGGAUAACGAUGGGAAACGAUCGCUAAUACCGCAUGACAUGGCGGAAUCGCGAGGAUCUGUUAUCAAAGAUUUUAUCGCUGAUAGAUAGGCUCGGGUCCGAUUAGAUAGUUGGUAGGGUAAUGGUCUACCAAGUCGACGAUCGGUAGCCGGACUGAGGGGUCGAACGGCCACAUUGGGACUAAGACACGGCCCAGACUCCUACGGGAGGCAGCAGUGGGGGAUAUUGCACAAUGGGGGAAACCCUGAUGCAGCGACGCCGCGUGAGGGAAGACGGUCCUCUGGAUUGUAAACCUCUGUCUUCGGGGACGAAACGAGACGGUACCCGAGGAGGAAGCCACGGCUAACUACGUGCCAGCCGCCGCCGUAA
This 497-nucleotide ribosomal RNA is filed under the name uncultured bacterium. RNAcentral's name for it is "partial 16S ribosomal RNA". It matches the Rfam family "Bacterial small subunit ribosomal RNA", at positions 28 to 523 of the family's 1533-position model. The record is from RNAcentral.